RNAcentral lists this ribosomal RNA (1503 nucleotides) under Triticum aestivum (bread wheat). Its description in RNAcentral is "partial small subunit ribosomal RNA". The record is from RNAcentral. Lineage: Eukaryota; Viridiplantae; Streptophyta; Magnoliopsida; Poales; Poaceae.
AUGGACGUCAACCUCCUGGAGAAGGCCCUCCUGGGCCUCUUCGCGGCGGCGAUGCUCGCCAUCGCCGUCGCGAAGCUGACAGGCAAGCGCUUCCGGCUCCCCCCCGGCCCCUCCGGCGCACCGAUCGUGGGCAACUGGCUCCAGGUGGGUGACGACCUCAACCACCGCAACCUCAUGGGCAUGGCUAAGCGUUUCGGUGAGGUGUUCCUGCUCCGGAUGGGUGUCCGCAACCUGGUUGUCGUCUCCAGUCCCGAGCUCGCCAAGGAGGUCCUCCACACCCAGGGCGUCGAGUUCGGCUCCCGCACCCGUAAUGUCGUCUUCGACAUCUUCACCGGCAAAGGCCAGGACAUGGUGUUCACCGUGUAUGGCGACCACUGGCGCAAGAUGCGCCGGAUCAUGACGGUGCCCUUCUUCACCAACAAGGUGGUGGCGCAGAACCGUGUGGGGUGGGAGGAGGAGGCCCGGCUGGUAGUGGAGGACCUCAAGGCUGACCCAGCAUCGGCGACGGGGGUGGUGAUCCGCCGCAGACUGCAGCUCAUGAUGUACAAUGACAUGUUCCGCAUCAUGUUCGACCGCCGGUUCGAGAGCCUCGCCGACCCGCUCUUCAACAAGCUGAGGGCGCUGAACGCCGAGCGCAGCAUUCUCUCCCAGAGCUUCGACUACAACUACGGCGACUUCAUCCCCAUCCUCCGCCCCUUCCUCCGCGGCUACCUCAACCGCUGCACCAACCUCAAGGCCAAGAGGAUGAAAGUCUUCGAGGAAGACUUCGUCCAAGAGCGCAAGAAGGCGUUGGAGAAGAACGGUGAGAUCAGAUGCGCCAUGGACCACAUCCUCGAGGCCGAAAGGAAGGGCGAGAUCAACCACGACAACGUCCUGUACAUCGUCGAGAACAUCAACGUCGCAGCAAUUGAGACGACCCUGUGGUCGAUCGAGUGGGGAGUUGCGGAGCUGGUGAACCACCCGGACAUCCAGUCAAAGCUCCGCCAGGAGAUCCUUGCUGUGCUAGGCCCCGAUGCAGCGGUGACAGAGCCAGACCUAGAGCGCCUCCCUUACCUGCAGUCCGUCGUGAAGGAGACUCUCCGCCUCCGCAUGGCCAUCCCGCUCCUCGUGCCACACAUGAACCUCAAGGACGCCAAGCUCGCUGGCUACGACAUCCCCGCCGAGUCCAAGAUCCUCGUCAACGCCUGGUUCCUCGCCAACGAUCCCAAGCGGUGGGUGCGCGCCGACGAGUUCCGUCCAGAGCGGUUCCUCGAGGAGGAGAGGGCCGUCGAAGCCAACGGUAACGACUUCCGGUUCGUGCCAUUCGGUGUCGGCCGGAGGAGCUGCCCGGGGAUCAUCCUCGCGCUGCCCAUCAUCGGCAUCACACUCGGCCGCCUGGUGCAGAACUUCCAGCUGCUGCCGCCGCUGGGGCAGGACAAGAUCGAUACCACGGAGAAGCCCGGACAGUUCAGCAACCAGAUCCGCAACCACGCCACCGUCGUCUGCAAGCCACUCAAGGCUUAG